Molecule: transfer RNA, 72 nt
Filed under: Cavia porcellus (domestic guinea pig)
Lineage: Eukaryota; Metazoa; Chordata; Mammalia; Rodentia; Caviidae
Rfam family: tRNA
About the family: Transfer RNA (tRNA) molecules are approximately 80 nucleotides in length. Their secondary structure includes four short double-helical elements and three loops (D, anti-codon, and T loops).
Source: Rfam by way of RNAcentral
GGGGAUUUAGCUCAGCGGCAUAAGUACCUGCCUUGCAAGCAGGCGGUCCUGAGUUCGAUCCCCGAAUACCGA